GAUGAAGAACGUAGCAAAAUGCGAUAAGUAAUGUGAAUUGCAGAAUUCUGUGAAUCAUCGAAUCUUUGAACGCACAUUGCGCCCGCCAGUAUUCUGGCGGGCAUGCCUGUUCGAGCGUCAUUUCAACCCUCAAGCACAGCUUGGUGUUGGGACUCGCGUUAAUUCGCGUUCCCCAAAUUGAUUGGCGGUCACGUCGAGCUUCCAUAGCGUAGUAGUAAAACCCUCGUUACUGGUAAUCGUCGCGGCCACGCCGUUAAACCCCAACUUCUGAAUGUUGACCUCGGAUCAGGUAGGAAUACCCGCUGAACUUAAGCAUAUCAAUAAGCGGAGGA
RNAcentral lists this unclassified non-coding RNA (332 nucleotides) under soil metagenome. RNAcentral describes it as "partial contains 5.8S ribosomal RNA, internal transcribed spacer 2, and large subunit ribosomal RNA". The stretch from base 1 to 120 matches the Rfam family "5.8S ribosomal RNA", at positions 35 to 154 of the family's 154-position model. The record is from RNAcentral.